AAUGAACGCUGGCGGCGCGCCUAAUACAUGCAAGUCGAGCGAGAAGACGUAGCAAUACGUUUGUAAAGCGGCGAACGGGUGAGGAAUACAUGGGUAACCUACCCUCGAGUGGGGAAUAACUAGCCGAAAGGUUAGCUAAUACCGCGUACGCUUCUUGGACUUCGGUUCAGGGAGGAAAGCGAUGCCGAGGGUAUCGCGCUCUUGGAUGGGCUCAUGUCCUAUCAGCUUGUUGGUGAGGUAACGGCUCACCAAGGCUUCGACGGGUAGCUGGUCUGAGAGGACGAUCAGCCACACUGGCACUGCGACACGGGCCAGACUCCUACGGGAGGCAGCAGUAAGGAAUAUUGCGCAAUGGGCGAAAGCCUGACGCAGCGACGCCGCGUGGGGGA
RNAcentral lists this ribosomal RNA (389 nucleotides) under uncultured bacterium. RNAcentral's name for it is "bacterial SSU rRNA". It matches the Rfam family "Bacterial small subunit ribosomal RNA", at positions 29 to 408 of the family's 1533-position model. The record is from RNAcentral.